AUCCAACUGACGAGUCCUAAAUAGGUCGAAAUGCUCGUCAAACUGGAU
Molecule: non-coding RNA, 48 nt
Organism: Schistosoma mansoni
Lineage: Eukaryota; Metazoa; Platyhelminthes; Trematoda; Strigeidida; Schistosomatidae
Source: Rfam